This 251-nucleotide ribosomal RNA is filed under the name uncultured bacterium. RNAcentral's name for it is "partial 16S ribosomal RNA". It matches the Rfam family "Bacterial small subunit ribosomal RNA", at positions 524 to 776 of the family's 1533-position model. The record is from RNAcentral.
UACGUAGGGUGCAGGCGUUAAUCGGAAUUACUGGGCGUAGCGUGCGCAGGCGGUUUCUUAAGUCAGAUGUGAAAGCCCCGGGCUUAACCUGGGAACUGCGUUUGAAACUGGGAGACUAGAGUGUGGCAGAGGGGGGUGGAAUUCCACGUGUAGCAGUGAAAUGCGUAGAUAUGUGGAGGAACACCGAUGGCGAAGGCAACCCCCUGGGUUAACACUGACGCUCAUGCACGAAAGCGUGGGGAGCAAACAGG